CUCAGGACGAACGCUGGCGGCGUGCCUAACACAUGCAAGUCGAGCGAUGAAGCUUCUUCGGAAGUGGAUUAGCGGCGGACGGGUGAGUAACACGUGGGUAACCUGCCUCAUAGUGGGGAAUAGCCUUUCGAAAGGAAGAUUAAUACCGCAUAAGAUUGUAGCUUCGCAUGAAGUAGCAAUUAAAGGAUUUAUUCGCUAUAAGAUGGACCCGCGGCGCAUUAGCUAGUUGGUGAGGUAACGGCCCACCAAGGCGACGAUGCGUAGCCGACCUGAGAGGGUGAUCGGCCACAUUGGAACUGAGACACGGUCCAGACUCCUACGGGAGGCAGCAGUGGGGGAUAUUGCACAAUGGAGGAAACUCUGAUGCAGCAACGCCGCGUGAGGGAAGAAGGUUUUCGGAUUGUAAACUCCUGUCGUUAGGGACGAUAAUGACGGUACCUAACAAGAAAGCACCGGCUAACUACGUG
RNAcentral lists this ribosomal RNA (467 nucleotides) under uncultured bacterium. Its description in RNAcentral is "bacterial SSU rRNA". It matches the Rfam family "Bacterial small subunit ribosomal RNA", at positions 23 to 507 of the family's 1533-position model. The record is from RNAcentral.